AGAACGAACGCUGGCGGCAUGCCUAACACAUGCAAGUCGAACGAGACCUUCGGGUCUAGUGGCGCACGGGUGCGUAACGCGUGGGAAUCUGCCCUUCGGUUCGGAAUAACAGUUAGAAAUGACUGCUAAUACCGGAUAAUGACGUAAGUCCAAAGAUUUAUCGCCGAAGGAUGAGCCCACGUAAGAUUAGCUAGUUGGUGAGGUAAAGGCUCACCAAGGCUACGAUCUUUAGCUGGUCUGAGAGGAUGAUCAGCCACACUGGGACUGAGACACGGCCCAGACUCCUACGGGAGCAGCAGGUGGGGAAUAGUUGGACAAGUGGGG
RNAcentral lists this ribosomal RNA (324 nucleotides) under uncultured soil bacterium. RNAcentral's name for it is "bacterial SSU rRNA". It matches the Rfam family "Bacterial small subunit ribosomal RNA", at positions 26 to 377 of the family's 1533-position model. The record is from RNAcentral.